This 336-nucleotide unclassified non-coding RNA is filed under the name soil metagenome. Its description in RNAcentral is "partial contains 5.8S ribosomal RNA, internal transcribed spacer 2, and large subunit ribosomal RNA". The stretch from base 1 to 120 matches the Rfam family "5.8S ribosomal RNA", at positions 35 to 154 of the family's 154-position model. The record is from RNAcentral.
GAUGAAGAACGUAGCGAAAUGCGAUAAGUAGUGUGAAUUGCAGAAUUCAGUGAAUCAUCGAAUCUUUGAACGCACAUUGCGCCCCUUGGUAUUCCAUGGGGCAUGCCUGUUCGAGCGUCAUUUGUACCUUCAAGCUUUGCUUGGUGUUGGGUGUUUGUCUCGCCUUUGCGUGUAGACUCGCCUUAAAAUAAUUGGCAGCCGGCGUAUUGAUUUCGGAGCGCAGUACAUCUCGCGCUUUGCACUCAUAACGACAGCGUCCAAAAGUACAUUUUACACUCUUGACCUCGGAUCAAGUAGGGAUACCCGCUGAACUUAAGCAUAUCAAUAAGCGGAGGA